Long non-coding RNA from Lycium barbarum (goji berry), 778 nucleotides. RefSeq lists it as uncharacterized. The transcript is spliced from 3 exons. Lineage: Eukaryota; Viridiplantae; Streptophyta; Magnoliopsida; Solanales; Solanaceae. The record is from RefSeq and is a predicted model, not a curated record.
UCAGUACUAAUAGCAAGUAUCUUUGUUUUCUUCUUUCAAGUUCGUUGAUAGCAGCAGCAAGUAUCUUUGCUUAAAUUAAUCAAUAGUAUCAGCAAGUAUUUUAUUCCUUCUUUAAAUUUACACUGUAGCAGCAACUGAUUCUCUUCCUCUUCAAAUUAAUGAAGUGCUACAGGAACAUUGUUCCUUCUUGGAAUUUCAACGUAGUGCAGUAGAAACAUAUUAAAGGUUUCUUUUAUGAAAUUUUCUCAAAUUCUCUCAAGCCCAUCCAAGAUCAAGUAUAACUUUAUUCCUUCAUCGAUUUCAUGAUUAUAACUUUGGUCCCCUCCGAAUCUUAGCAAUUUCGGGAUUUAUUUUGUGUUGAAGUUGAAGUUGAAGCUGAAGCUUUUUCUAGGUGAAGUAUCCUAAGAUUAAGGCUGUUCUUGUGUGAGUGAGGGUUGGCACGCUAGUUACGACGAGUUCAUUAUUGGAUCAUAUUUGAUACACGAGGUCUGCAGAUACAGGUAGGUGAUCCAUCUAUUAGGAUGUCAGCUCAGCAGAUGUAGUUGAUGCACUCCAUUCGUUCCGGAGAUGCCAGGAGUCAGCAGGCCAUAUGUAUAUAUAGAUAUGUACGCACCUAUGUAUGGGUAUGGCAGGGUCCUGUCCCGGCCACGUUGUGUUAUGUUUUCCAGUAGAGGCUUGUAGACAGUUAUGCACAGUCAGAUGAGGUCCAGACUUGAGAUUUCAUAUGUCAUUACAGAUGGUUAUGAUAGCCUUACCAACUCAUUCAGUAUGUUCAGUA